Molecule: RNA transcript, 1793 nt
Organism: Osmerus eperlanus (European smelt)
Lineage: Eukaryota; Metazoa; Chordata; Actinopteri; Osmeriformes; Osmeridae
Gene name: deoxyribonuclease-1-like
Exons: 11
Source: RefSeq, a predicted model, not a curated record
GUCACAAAAACACCACAGACACACGCACACACACACGUAGCUUCAGUUGAAGACCUUGGUUAACCUUCUACUUUGUGUUCAUCCCUUUGUUCUAUUCCUCAAGCAAUCAUGAAGGUGGCAGCUUUCAACAUCCAGAAGUUUGGGACGAAUAAGGUCUCAGACCCCCAAAUCCUUCCCAUACUUAUCAAGAUAGUGUCUCGCUACGACAUCAUAGUCAUCUUGGAGGUUGUGGAUGCCAAGGGGAAAUCAGUGAAAACCUUCUUGCAGGAACUCAACAAAGCCAACAAGGAGCAUCGCUACACCAUGGAGAUCAGCACUCGUCUGGGCAGAACUAGAUACAAGGAACAGUACCUGUUUCUCUACAGGGAUGAUGUGGUGGAUCUGAUAGACACCUACCAGUUUGCAGACAAACAAGCAGGUCAGGAGGAUGCGUUUGCCAGGGAACCAUAUGUCCUCCGCUUCAAGUGCCACAACACUGUGAUGAAUGACCUUGUGCUGAUGCCAGUGCACACAAAGCCUGUUGGAGCAGAAAAGGAACUGGACGAGCUGUACGACGUCUUCCUAGACGUGAAGCGCAAGUGGGGGACUGACAACAUUAUGAUCCUCGGGGACUUCAAUGCAGAUGGCUCCUAUGUCUCCAAGAAAGAAAUGAAGCUGAUCCGUAUCCGCAGCGACAAGAACUUUCAUUGGCUGAUCAGUGAUGAUGUUGACACCACUGCAAAUCAUAAAAACGACCACACUUACGACAGGAUAGUGGUCUAUGGAGAUGACAUGCUGGCUGCCGUUGUUCCAAACUCAGCCAAACCUUUCAACUUCCAGCAGGAAUAUGGACUGACUAAUGCGCAGCCAACAGGAAGAAAAAUUAGGCAACGAAAACUGGAAGAGGCCCUCCUCCACAGGACUGGCCCUCUCCAGCAAUCAGGGUCACCGCCUGAUGGAAGGAGUAGAAGGGGGCUUUUCAUCAGACCCUGGUGGCAGCAGCUCGGACACCCAGGCAUAUGUACAGGGUAUGUUUCAAGUAAUCUACGUGACCGUGUUCAUUCAACAAUUAUUUAUGAAUAUUGUAGGAGUGAAAUGUAUUACUGUUCCUAUGACAGGAAAUACAGUGGUGUUGCUGCCACCACCCACUGUCAUCCCACUGUGCCAUACAGAGGUGGAGGUCGUAGAUGAUCAGGAAACUGUGUCUGCCCGCUCAGAGAGCGCUUUGGGGGUACACUUUGGAUUUUUUUUUACCACUUGCAACACAGUGGGUGAGAGUGUGUGAACGUGUGGCUGUGAUUGUCGUGUCUGUAAUGACUUGCUAAUGGUAGUGGUCUGAAGAUGAGACACAAGUCCUUAAAGUGCUCAUUUCAAAUAUGACUCAAUUGAUUAAACUUAUGGUGUUAAACUCAGCAGGAAGAGGAACUUCUUCCUCUCCCUGAGCCUUGGGCCUCCACCUCAAGGCCAAGACAAAGACACGAGGUAUAAGCAAUGAACCUUGAAACACAGUAGUCAAAUGGACACCUUCAACUUUCUCCAAGUGUGCCUUGCAAAGGGACAAUUUUCUUUAUUUGUUUCAGGUUGGAGCAGACAAUGUGAGGGCCCUGUAUAAAAAAACCCUGGAGCUCGAUAUAGAGUACAAGAGGCUUUUAAUUGAAAAAACAAGGCUGGAGAUAGAAAAACUGGAAUAUGAGAAGAAGGAAAGAGAGAACACAUGAGGAUGUAUUUGUUAAAUGUUUUUCUACGUUUUGGUCUUUUUAUACUUUUUUGUGGCUCUUUGUCCCAAAGAUUUUUUUGUUGUGCCUUUGAGUCUU